Long non-coding RNA from Larimichthys crocea (large yellow croaker), 406 nucleotides. RefSeq lists it as uncharacterized. The record is from RefSeq and is a predicted model, not a curated record. Lineage: Eukaryota; Metazoa; Chordata; Actinopteri; Sciaenidae. The transcript has 3 exons.
GCCAGAUACUGUGACUGGUGUGGCUCAAAGCCCGGUCAUGCAGCCAGCUGUGUCAUCUGUUGCCGAUGUGGAGCGAGCGGUCACCCGUACGCCUUCCACUGCGCAGCCUGCGGCGUCUUCCUGAAAGCUCCGCCCACAUCUCACAGUGACAUCACACGGCCUGUAGGGGGCGGAGCCACCAGCCAGACUUCCCAUGAUGCCACCUGGCAGGCCACACCCUCAUCAGACCCUCAGGUGAGACUGACCACGCCCACUGCAGAGCAGACCACGCAGACUGUCGGACUCUAUUACCCAUCAGCCACUGAGCUGGAGAGGAAGGAGCAACACAGAGCGCAACAACACAGCAAGCAGCAGGCAACGAGAGACCGGCAACCGCUACUGACUGCCAUCAGCCCGGGCAGAGGUA